This 73-nucleotide transfer RNA is filed under the name Heterocephalus glaber (naked mole-rat). It matches the Rfam family "tRNA". Rfam says of the family: Transfer RNA (tRNA) molecules are approximately 80 nucleotides in length. Their secondary structure includes four short double-helical elements and three loops (D, anti-codon, and T loops). Further hydrogen bonds mediate the characteristic L-shaped molecular structure. tRNAs have two regions of fundamental functional importance: the anti-codon, which is responsible for specific mRNA codon recognition, and the 3' end, to which the tRNAs corresponding amino acid is attached (by aminoacyl-tRNA synthetases). tRNAs cope with the degeneracy of the genetic code in two manners: having more than one tRNA (with a specific anti-codon) for a particular amino acid; and 'wobble' base-pairing, i.e. permitting non-standard base-pairing at the 3rd anti-codon position. The record is from Rfam by way of RNAcentral. Lineage: Eukaryota; Metazoa; Chordata; Mammalia; Rodentia; Bathyergidae.
AUGUAGCUCAGUGGUAGAGUGCAUGCUUACAUGGUAGAGUACAUGAGACCCUGGGUUCGAUCCCCAGUACAUA